AUCAGUAGGGGUUCUGAGAGGAAGGUCCCCCACAUUGGAACUGAGACACGGUCCAAACUCCUACGGGAGGCAGCAGUGAGGAAUAUUGGUCAAUGGGCGGAAGCCUGAACCAGCCAAGUAGCGUGCAGGAUGACGGCCCUAUGGGUUGUAAACUGCUUUUGAAGGGGAGUAAAGUGAGUGACUUGUCAUUCAUUGCAAAUACCCUUGGAAUAAGGACCGGCUAAUUCCGUGCCAGCAGCCGCGGUAAUACGGAAGGUCCGGGCGUUAUCCGGAUUUAUUGGGUUUAAAGGGAGCGUAGGCUGCCCGGCAAGCGUGCUGUGAAAUACAGUGGCCCAACCACUGGACUGCAGCGCGAACUGUCGGGCUUGAGGGCGCACGACGCAGGCGGAAUUUGUGGUGUAGCGGUGAAAUGCUUAGAUAUCACGAAGAACCCCGAUUGCGAAGGCAGCUUGCGGGAGCGCGACUGACGCUGAAGCUCGAAAGUGCGGGUAUCAACAGGAUUAGAUACCCUGGUAGU
This 517-nucleotide ribosomal RNA is filed under the name uncultured Prevotella sp. RNAcentral describes it as "bacterial SSU rRNA". It matches the Rfam family "Bacterial small subunit ribosomal RNA", at positions 279 to 794 of the family's 1533-position model. Lineage: Bacteria; Pseudomonadati; Bacteroidota; Bacteroidia; Bacteroidales; Prevotellaceae. The record is from RNAcentral.